Molecule: ribosomal RNA, 461 nt
Filed under: uncultured Desulfobulbus sp.
Lineage: Bacteria; Pseudomonadati; Thermodesulfobacteriota; Desulfobulbia; Desulfobulbales; Desulfobulbaceae
Description: bacterial SSU rRNA
Rfam family: Bacterial small subunit ribosomal RNA
Source: RNAcentral
ACAAGCGGAGGAGUAUGUGGUUAAUUCGAUGCAACGCGAAGAACCUUACCUGGUCUUGACAUCCCGGAGACCCUUAGGAAACUAGGGGUGCUUCCAUCUGGAAGAAUCUGGAGACAGGUGCUGCAUGGCUGUCGUCAGCUCGUGUCGUGAGAUGUUGGGUUAAGUCCCGCAACGAGCGCAACCCUUGCCUUUAGUUGCCAGCAGUUCGGCUGGGCACUCUAAAGGGACUGCCGGUGUUAAACCGGAGGAAGGUGGGGAUGACGUCAAGUCCUCAUGGCCUUUAUGACCAGGGCUACACACGUACUACAAUGGCCGAUACAAAGGGCAGCGACACUGCGAGGUGAAGCCAAUCCCGUAAAAUCGGUCUCAGUCCGGAUUGGAGUCUGCAACUCGACUCCAUGAAGUUGGAAUCGCUAGUAAUCGUGGAUCAGCAUGCCACGGUGAAUACGUUCCCGGGCCUU